Molecule: ribosomal RNA, 460 nt
Filed under: uncultured bacterium
Lineage: Bacteria
Description: partial 16S ribosomal RNA
Rfam family: Bacterial small subunit ribosomal RNA
Source: RNAcentral
CCUACGGGGGGCAGCAGUGAGGAAUAUUGGUCAAUGGACGAGAGUCUGAACCAGCCAAGUAGCGUGAAGGAUGACUGCCCUAUGGGUUGUAAACUUCUUUUAUAUGCGAAUAAAAUGUUCCACGUGUGGGAUUUUGUAUGUACCAUAUGAAUAAGGAUCGGCUAACUCCGUGCCAGCAGCCGCGGUAAUACGGAGGAUCCGAGCGUUAUCCGGAUUUAUUGGGUUUAAAGGGAGCGUAGGUGGAUUGUUAAGUCAGUUGUGAAAGUUUGCGGCUCAACCGUAAAAUUGCAGUUGAAACUGGCAGUCUUGAGUACAGUAGAGGUGGGCGGAAUUCGUGGUGUAGCGGUGAAAUGCUUAGAUAUCACGAAGAACUCCGAUUGCGAAGGCAGUUCACUGGACUGCAACUGACACUGAGGCUCGAAAGUGUGGGUAUCAAACAGGAUUAGAUACCCCUGUAGUC